Molecule: ribosomal RNA, 429 nt
Filed under: Chloroflexota bacterium
Lineage: Bacteria; Bacillati; Chloroflexota
Description: Chloroflexi bacterium partial 16S ribosomal RNA
Rfam family: Bacterial small subunit ribosomal RNA
Source: RNAcentral
UGGGGAAUAUUGCACAAUGGGCGCAAGCCUGAUGCAGCCAUGUCGCGUGUAUGAAGAAGGCCUUCGGGUUGUAAAGUACUUUCAGCGGGGAGGAAGGGAGUAAAGUUAAUACCUUUGCUCAUUGACGUUACCCGCAGAAGAAGCACCGGCUAACUCCGUGCCAGCAGCCGCGGUAAUACGGAGGGUGCAAGCGUUAAUCGGAAUUACUGGGCGUAAAGCGCACGCAGGCGGUUGAUUGAGUCAGAUGUGAAAUCCCCGGGCUUAACCCGGGAAUUGCAUCUGAUACUGGUCAGCUAGAGUCUUGUAGAGGGGGGUAGAAUUCCAUGUGUAGCGGUGAAAUGCGUAGAGAUGUGGAGGAAUACCGGUGGCGAAGGCGGCCCCCUGGACAAAGACUGACGCUCAGGUGCGAAAGCGUGGGGAGCAAACAGG